This 1448-nucleotide long non-coding RNA is filed under the name Marmota monax (woodchuck). Lineage: Eukaryota; Metazoa; Chordata; Mammalia; Rodentia; Sciuridae. The record is from RNAcentral.
GAUGUGUGUAUAUAGAUACAUACACAUAUUAUGGAAUGGCUUAAUGAAAAUAUUUAACAUGUGCUACUUCACUUUGUUUUUUUUUUUUUAAAUAUUUAUUUGUUUAUUUAUUUUUUUAGUUCUCGGCGGACACAACAUCUCUGUAUGUGGUGCUGAGGAUCGAACCCGGGCCGCACGCAUGCCAGGCGAGCGCGCUACCGCUUGAGCCACAUCCCCAGCCCUUCACUUUGUUUUUUUGGUGAUAAAUACACUUAAAAUUACUCUCUUCACAAUUUUUAAAAAAUUAUUUUUAUUAGUUAUUGAUGGACCUUUAUUUAUUUGUUUAAAUGUGAUGCUGAGAAUCGAAACAAGUGCCUCACACAUGCUAGGCAAGUGCUCUAUCACUGAGCCACAACCCCAGCCCAGAUACAAUAUAUUGUUAUUAACUGUAGUUGCCAUUAUGUACAAUAUAUCUUUUGAACUUAUUCCUCCUAUAACUGAAAUUUUGGGACCAACAUUUCCUCAAUACCUAAACUCCUAGUCUCUGGGAUCCACCAUUUUGUUCUAUUUCUGUGUUCUGUGUUAUUUUUUUUCCCUUAAAUUCAGCAUAUUAUAGAAUAUUGUGCUAUUAUCUUUCUAUGCCUGGGUUAUUUUACUUAACACACUGGCUUUCAUAUUCAUCCAAAUGACAGGAUUUUCUGCUUUUUAAAGAUGAAUAGCAGGGUUUGGGGUUGUGGCUCAGUGGUAGUGUACUUGCCUAGCACGUGUGAGGCACUGGUUCGAUUCAGCACCAUAUAUAAAUACAUGAAUAAAAUAAAAGUUCAUCAACAACUAAAAAAAAAAAAGACAAAUAGUAUUCCAUUGUAAAUAUAUACCACAUUUUCUUUACUUAUCUGUUAAUGGACACAAAGUUGUUUCCUUUUCUUGGCUAUUGUUAAUAAUGCUGUGGUGAACAUGGGAGUGUAGGUAUCUCUUUGACAGACUGGUUUCAUUUCUCUUGGAUAUACACUCAGUAGUGGGAUUGCUGGAUCACAUAAUAUAUCUAUUUUUUAACUUUUUGAGAUCCUUCCUCCUUACUGUUUUCCAUUAUGAUCAUACCAAACUGCAUUUCCACCAACAGUGUACACAUUUCCCUUUUCUCUACAUCCUUGACAACACUUGUUAUUCAAUAAUAGCCAUUCUAACAACUGUGAGGUGAUAUUGGUUUUAAUUUGCAUUUCUCUGAUGAUUAGUAAUGGAGAGCAUUUUUUUUCAUAUACCCUGUUGUUUAUUUGUAUGUUUUCUUUUGAGAAAUGUCUUUAGAUCCUUUGGCUUUUUUCUUUCUUUCCUUUUUGUGUGGUGCCGGGGAUCAACCUGAGUCCUUUCCCCAUUUUAAAAAUUGCACUGUUUAUUUUACCAUUGUGUUGAAUUCCUUAUGUAUAUUUUUAUAUUAUCUCUUACCAGAUGUAUAGUUUGCAAAUAAAUUCUCC